CAGUCGCCGCGGGAAUACGAAGGGGGCUAGCGUUGUUCGGAGUUACUGGGCGUAAAGCGCACGUAGGCGGAUAUUUAAGUCAGGGGUGAAAUCCCGCAGCUCAACUGCGGAACUGCCUUUGAUACUGGGUAUCUUGAGUAUGGAAGAGGUUAGUGGAAUUGCGAGUGUAGAGGUGAAAUUCGUAGAUAUUCGCAGGAACACCAGUGGCGAAGGCGGCUAACUGGUCCAUAACUGACGCUGAGGUGCGAAAGCGUGGGGAGCAAACAGGAUUAGAUACCCCAGUAGUCCCUGUCUCUUAUAC
This 301-nucleotide ribosomal RNA is filed under the name uncultured bacterium. RNAcentral's name for it is "partial 16S ribosomal RNA". It matches the Rfam family "Bacterial small subunit ribosomal RNA", at positions 509 to 807 of the family's 1533-position model. The record is from RNAcentral.